Long non-coding RNA from Neltuma alba, 92 nucleotides. RefSeq lists it as uncharacterized. The transcript has 3 exons. NCBI's taxonomy places the organism in Eukaryota, Viridiplantae, Streptophyta, Magnoliopsida, Fabales, Fabaceae. The record is from RefSeq and is a predicted model, not a curated record.
GGUAAAACUUAUGAUAGACUUGAGUUUUGAAGUUUCAGAAAAGAGUGGUCAACAAAAAUUAAAGCAAAACAACUUUUACAGUUGAUCUGCUU